Molecule: ribosomal RNA, 164 nt
Filed under: uncultured bacterium
Lineage: Bacteria
Description: partial 16S rRNA
Rfam family: Bacterial small subunit ribosomal RNA
Source: RNAcentral
UAGGGAAUCUUCCACAAUGGGCGAAAGCCUGAUGGAGCAACGCCGCGUGUGUGAUGAAGGGUUCCGGCUCGUAAAACACUGUUGUAAGAGAAGAAUGACAUUGAGAGUAACUGUUCAAUGUGUGACGGUAUCUUACCAGAAAGGGACGGCUAAAUACGCGCCAG